RNAcentral lists this ribosomal RNA (468 nucleotides) under uncultured bacterium. RNAcentral describes it as "partial 16S ribosomal RNA". The stretch from base 49 to 468 matches the Rfam family "Bacterial small subunit ribosomal RNA", at positions 39 to 507 of the family's 1533-position model. The record is from RNAcentral.
GGGGGGGGGGGGGGGGGGGGGGGGGGGGGGGGGGGGGGGGGGGGGGGGGCGGCGUGGGGGGGGGGCUCGGGUGGCGAGCGGGUGAGUGACACGGGGGUAACCUGCCCUUGACUGUGGGAUAACUUCCGGAAACUGGGGCUAAUACCGGAUAGGAGCUCCUGCUGCAUGGUGGGGGUUGGAAAGUUUCGGCGGUUGGGGAUGGACUCGCGGCUUAUCAGCUUGUUGGUGGGGUAGUGGCUUACCAAGGCUUUGACGGGUAGCCGGCCUGAGAGGGUGACCGGCCACAUUGGGACUGAGAUACGGCCCAGACUCCUACGGGAGGCAGCAGUGGGGAAUAUUGCACAAUGGGCGGAAGCCUGAUGCAGCAACGCCGCGUGCGGGAUGACGGCCUUCGGGUUGUAAACCGCUUUCGCCUGUGACGAAGCGUGAGUGACGGUAAUGGGUAAAGAAGCACCGGCUAACUACGUG